RNAcentral lists this ribosomal RNA (305 nucleotides) under uncultured bacterium. RNAcentral describes it as "partial 16S ribosomal RNA". It matches the Rfam family "Bacterial small subunit ribosomal RNA", at positions 337 to 644 of the family's 1533-position model. The record is from RNAcentral.
UCCUACGGGGGGCAGCAGUGGGGAAUAUUGCACAAUGGGGGAAACCCUGAUGCAGCGACGCCGCGUGAGUGAAGAAGUAUCUCCGUACGUAAAGCUCUAUCAGCAGGGAAGAAAAAAAGUCUUUGGCAUUGGACGGUACCUGACUAAGAAGCCCCGGCUAACUACGUGCCAGCAGCCGCGGUAAUACGUAGGGGGCAAGCGUUAUCCGGAUUUACUGGGUGUAAAGGGAGCGUAGACGGCAGCGCAAGUCUGGAGGGAAAUGCUGGGGCUCAACCCCGGAACUGCUUUGGAAACUGUGCAGCUAG